This 579-nucleotide unclassified non-coding RNA is filed under the name Pseudopithomyces maydicus. RNAcentral's name for it is "sequence contains ITS1, 5.8S rRNA gene and ITS2". The stretch from base 224 to 377 matches the Rfam family "5.8S ribosomal RNA". The record is from RNAcentral. Lineage: Eukaryota; Fungi; Ascomycota; Dothideomycetes; Pleosporales; Didymosphaeriaceae.
UCCGUAGGUGAACCUGCGGAAGGAUCAUUAACCUUUCAAAAAACAGGGUGCGUCGCGGCCCCCCUCCGGGGGCGGUUUGGGGUCCUCCCCUUCACGCGCGCACGACUGCAUCCUUACUUUACGAGCACCUUCUGUUCUCCCUCGGCGGGGCAACCUGCCGUUGGAACCGAAUAAACCUUUUUUUGCAUCCAGCAUUACCCGUUCCGAAACAAACAAUCGUUACAACUUUCAACAAUGGAUCUCUUGGCUCUGGCAUCGAUGAAGAACGCAGCGAAAUGCGAUAAGUAGUGUGAAUUGCAGAAUUCAGUGAAUCAUCGAAUCUUUGAACGCACAUUGCGCCCCUUGGUAUUCCGGGGGGCAUGCCUGUUCGAGCGUCAUCUACACCCUCAAGCUCUGCUUGGUGUUGGGCGUCUGUCCCGCCUCAGCGCGCGGACUCGCCCCAAAUCCAUUGGCAGCGGUCCUUGCCUCCUCUCGCGCAGCACAUUGCGCUUCUCGAGGGGCUCCGGCCCGCGUCCAACAAGAAAACAUUACCGUCUUUGACCUCGGAUCAGGUAGGGAUACCCGCUGAACUUAAGCAUU